RNAcentral lists this long non-coding RNA (3172 nucleotides) under Anolis carolinensis (green anole). RNAcentral's name for it is "lncRNA (ENSACAG00000043355.1)". The record is from RNAcentral. Lineage: Eukaryota; Metazoa; Chordata; Lepidosauria; Squamata; Anolidae.
AUGGGAGACAGGGAAGAAAGGGCAGUAUGGGCAUCGCCUUGCAAUCCAUCGCUGUGUCUGCCCGCAGGAGCUGAGCGGCAUCUGGAGGCGCAGGUGAUGCGGCUGCAGGCGUCCAGCAACGUGGCUUUGGGCCGCCUCUCUGCCCUGGAGUCAGGAGUCCGGUACCUGAGCCAGGAGCUGCGGGCUGAGAGGCUCUUGUGGAGCAGCCGCUACCUGGAGCUCCUGCGAGAGCAGCAAGGCCUGGCUGUGCAGUUGCAAAGACAGGAGCAAAGGCUGUGGUCGUCAAACUUGGAAGGAUUGAGUGAAGCCCCCCAGGAGAUGCUGCGCCAGAGUUGGGACCCCCAUGAAGAGGAGGAGGAGGAGGAACAGGAACCAAGCCACCCCACUGGUGAGUCAGGGGCAGGGAUCUUCAACAUGUUGGCCCUGGCCCCUGGCCCACCGGUUGCAAGGACAUUUAUCCCCCGAGGCAGCAAAGUCCCUACAAUGGCUUUCUACUCUGCACAGUUACAGAGCGAUGGCUCCACUUCGUGGGAUUUGUAGCAGUGUCAGAAUUAUAGUUGGAAGAGACCGCAUGGGCCAUCUAGUCCAACCCCUUUCUACUACCAUUUUAAUGACAGAAACAUGGAAAUAUGGAAGUGGUUAAAUAUAACCUCGGGAUUGCUGCAAGGCUUAAACGUUUACGUAUUGUGUCUGAUUGUUGUUUCAUAGUUUUAUAAUUUUAAUGGUUUUAAUAUAUUGUCAUUGUUGUUGUUUUGCUCUCUCUCUCUCUCUCUCUCUCUAUAUAUAUAUAUAUAUUGCUAUGUAUAUAUGUAUAUAUAUAUUAUAAUAUAUUGUAUUGUAUAUGCAUAUAAUAUUAAUAAUAUUAUUUUAUAAUACAGUAUAAUACUAAUACAAUAUAAUAAUAUUAAUUAUAUAUUAUAUAUUACAUGUACUAUUAUUAAUAAUAUUACAAUAUAUAGAUAUAGUAGAAUAUGGUAAUUUAUUGCCAGUAUUGUGCUAUGCUAAUAAUAUAAUAUUGUAUGUAAAUUUAAUUUGUAAGCCACUCUGAAUCCCCUUAGGAGGUGAGAAGGGCAGGAUAUAAAUGUAUUAAAUAAAUAAAUAAAUAAAUAAAUAAAUAUGUGAUGUUUUAUACAUGUAAAUUUUGCCACGGAUUAUGCUGAGAACCGCUUUGAGUCCCCUUAGGGGUGAGAAAAGUGGAAUAUAAGUGCAAUAAGCCCCGGUGGCGCUGUGUGUUAAAGCGCUGAGCUAGCAAACUUACGGACCGAAAGGUCGCAGGUUCGAAUCCAGGGAGCGGAGUGAGCGCCCGCUUUUAGCCCCAGUUUCUGCCAACCUAGCAGUUCGAAAACAUGCAAAUGUGAGUGGAUCAAUAGGUACUGCUCCGACGGGAAGGUAACGGCUCUCCAUGCAGUCAUGCCAGUCACGUGACCUUGGAGGUGUCUACGGACAAUGCUGACUCUUCGGCUUAGAAAUGGAUAUGAGUACCAACCCUCAGAGUCGGACAAGGGGGAAAACCUUUACCCUUAAGUGCAAUAAAUAUAUAACUAACUAACUAAAUAAUAGUUGGCCUUCCACCAAACUACAAAUCUUAGAAACUUGUCCACUAGUAUCAAACCAAAAUGGAUUUAUAGUACAGACGGACUUUCAUUUUACUAGAAGAGGGGGGCAGCUCCACUGAAAGUCUGUAAAGAGGGAGCACAACAACACAACAAUAACAGUUGUCAAUUUCCUUGCUUUUUCGCAGUGGGACCUGGACCCAAGUGGGCUGCAAAAGAAUGACUAGCUCCAUGACGUUGCAGAGAACCAUGCCAUUGUUUGGGGAGAACAUUUCGAACGCGUCUCUCCUCUCUCAAAGUCUGGACUAAGACCAGUGGACCAAUCCAAUGAAUAAAGAAAGAGCACUGCACCAAGGUGGACCCAGACUCAAAGCAGGAGGUUCCGCGAUGGUUGUCCGUCCAUGCGCCAGGUGAGGUCCAGGCUGCAACAAACAGGACAGGGCCCAGGGGGAGCCAAAGGCACAUAGAGGAGCAUCAAACUUCACCCGGAAGGCAGAGUGGAACAAAAUUGCAAAUCUGAGUCCUGACAGAUUAGAGCAGGGGUCCCCAAACUAAGGCUCGGGGGCCGGAUGCGGCCCUCCAAGGUCAUUUACCUGGCCCCUGCCCUCAUUUAUAAUAUAAUAUUUUAUAUCAGUUUUAAUAAUAUAAUGUAUUGUAUAUACAUAUGAUAUUGAUAAUAUUAUCAUUUUAUACAGUAUAAUACUAAUAAUAAUACCAUAUAAUAAUAUUAAUUAUAUGUUAUAUAUUACAUAUAAUAUUACAGUAUAGUGGUAUAGUUCAAUAUAGUAAUAUAUAAUGCUAAUAUUGUGCUAUGCUAAUAAUAUAAUAUAUUGUAUGCACAUACAGCUGCUCUGAGUUCUCUUUGGGGUGAGAAGGGUGGGAUAUAAAUGUAGUAAAUGAAUAAAUAAAUAAUUUUGGACUUAGGCUCGCCCAAAGUCUGAAUUGACUUGAAGACACACAACAACAACAAUCCCAAUUAACUUGACUAUCUCAAUGGCCAGAAGGAGGCCCACACUUCCUAUUGAAAUCCUGAUAGGUUUAUGUUGGUUAAAAUUAUUUUCAUUUUUAAAUAUUUUAUUGGUCUUUCAUUGUUAUUGUUGUUGUUUUGGACUACAAAUAAGAUAUGUGCAGUGUGCAUAGGAAUUUGUUCAUUUUUUUUUUCAAAUGAUAAUUCGGCCUCUCAACAGUCUGAAGGAUUGUGGACCGGCCCUCUGCUUUAAAAGUUUGAGAUUAGAGAGCUGAUUGUCCUGGAAACUUGGGACUCAAUGGAGCAAUGGGUUCAACUUCCAGGAAAGGACACCCACCUGAGCUUUAAGAAGAACUUCCUGACUGCAAGAAGAAUGGUUCAGCAGUGGAACUCUCUGCCUUGGAAUGUAGUGGAGGCUUUUAAACAGAGGUUGGAUGGCCAUCUGUCGGGGGUGCUUUGAUUGUGCUUUUCCUGCAUGGCAGAAAGGGAUGGGACUAGUGGCUCAUGCUGUCUCUUCCAACUGUGAUUCCAUGACUGGAGGAAAUGUUCCCACUAUCCCAGAGUAUUCCCAUAGCUAUCCAGGCAACAGGAAAUAAAGGACAACCAAACUACGGCAGGUCUCCAGCCGUGCUUUGGACAAGCCAUUUUGGGU